UUCAGUUGUGGGUCAAGUGCGGCAUAGCCUUGGCCGUGACCCGGUUUCCUGUGUUGCAUACCUACGCGAUGGCAUUCGUUUGUCCCAACGUCCCUCGUUCGUUUAGUGGUCCGCUUCUCAGCGGGUCACGAGACGAAACUUGCAGCAUGACCCGUUACCCGCGUCGCAUAUAUUGCAUCGCGGUGAACGGGGCAUUGCUUGAGCUCUUGGAUACGGAAAGCACUGUGGGCAUUGAGGUCUCGCGGCCUCUUAUCGUUGCCCAAGCAUGCAUUAGACGUGAACGAUGCACGACCGUCGCUCCCGUCUCGGCUUGGCCGUGCGGUGACGACGUCGUUCAGGAAUGCUACCUGGUUGAUCCUGCCAGAUCCUCUGCUUGA
This 377-nucleotide unclassified non-coding RNA is filed under the name Dischidia nummularia. RNAcentral's name for it is "partial external transcribed spacer". Lineage: Eukaryota; Viridiplantae; Streptophyta; Magnoliopsida; Gentianales; Apocynaceae. The record is from RNAcentral.